AAGCAGAAUUUAGUCUACAGUUUAGCUGUGAGUGCUAUUGUCACUCCCCCUGCUUAAAAUAAAGUUGUUUCUUAACUACAUCUCUCUGCUUGACACCUGUAGCAGCUAGGAAUACUUGGUCUCAGUUAA
RNAcentral lists this small nucleolar RNA (129 nucleotides) under Sorex araneus (European shrew). Its description in RNAcentral is "Small nucleolar RNA SNORA63 (ENSSARG00000015942.1)". The record is from RNAcentral. Lineage: Eukaryota; Metazoa; Chordata; Mammalia; Eulipotyphla; Soricidae.